UACGUAGGGGGCUAGCGUUGUCCGGAUUUAUUGGGCGUAAAGAGCGUGUAGGCGGCCAGGUAGGUCUGCUGUGAAAACUCGAGGCUCAACCUCGAGACGUCGGCGGAAACCAUCUGGCUAGAGUCCGGAAGAGGAGAGUGGAAUUCCUGGUGUAGCGGUGAAAUGCGCAGAUAUCAGGAAGAACACCCGUGGCGAAGGCGGGACUCUGGGCCGAUACUGACGCUGAGGAGCGAAAGCGUGGGGAGCAAACAGG
RNAcentral lists this ribosomal RNA (253 nucleotides) under uncultured bacterium. RNAcentral describes it as "partial 16S ribosomal RNA". It matches the Rfam family "Bacterial small subunit ribosomal RNA", at positions 524 to 776 of the family's 1533-position model. The record is from RNAcentral.